GUCGAGAUAGGGCAUUUUUGAACCGAAUUAUGAAAUGGGCCGUUAUUGAAAUGUUUUCAGAGGUAGGGCGUUUUCGAAGUUAUUGCUUAGAUAGGCCGAUCUUAUACUCAGGUGUCGAUAUGUCCACGCAUCCAUAUAUAUUUAUUUUUUGUAGGUCCAACAAAAUGUUAACUCAAGCGUAGAUUACGACGUUGGGACAUGCGCGAAAUGCUUGCACUAUAUCUAGAAAAUCGUCAGCCUGUUGCUCAUAUUUUCGGAAUGUUAUUGAGGAAUUUUAACUUUUCUUCAAAAUGAUUUAUUUUGGAACGAAUUUCCGUCAUCCCUUGUCAAGUUUGGUUUACAGACAAAAUAUCUACAUAAAAUGGGAAAAUUUCGUUCUAAGACAAAUCAUGGAGCAAAGGGGAGUCAGUUACUUACUCCGAAUCCUGAACGAAUGAGGCAUAGUCUAGAGACUAACCCGCGUUUAUUUCAUAUGAGUAUUAUUUACGGAUUAUUGGCCAACGAAUUGACAGCACUGUCUGAACCAAUUUGCAAUCUUAAUUCGCUUACCUUGGAUGCAGGACUAAAACAGGAUCACCAACUGUUGUUUAAUGCCGAUGCAACUACAGUCAAAGGUGUUGGUGAGAGCUUAACAAUUUUGGGUGUAUGAGAGAGCAAAGCAUGUCGGUGUCACAAUCGGACUUUUUCAAGGCUUUCAAAACAUUUCUUUCCAACUUUACUGAUUGCAGAAAAAUCCUAGAUGAGCGCGAAGGCACAUAGUCAUCAACUGAGUAUAUUAUAUUGCAGAUUUAAGCUGAGAAGGAGGACAAUAAUGCAAUUGGGCGUAUAUUAUCCGCGUUAGAAGUAAUAAAGAUCAGAAGGAGCUCUUGGAAACUUCAAAAACUAAACUGUGCAAAACAGCUGUUGGCCCUUUCGGUUGUGAUGCAAUAUUUAAUAUCAAUACUGCGCUACUGCUCUUUCAAACAACCGAAGUUAUUCGCAUUUUCUUCGAGAAUUUCAUUAUGCUCGUUCCGGAGAACAUAAAAUCUAUGUUGAUCGCAUCGUGUUGCACUCUUUUCUCUAAGGCGCCUUCUUGUUAAAAUUCGGCAAUAAGAAUAGUAUUGCCUUGCAAAAGCUAUUUGCCAAGUGUUAUGUCGGCUGGCGGCUUAAGGAAGUUCUGUACCUAACUCUUAUCUCUUCGGAUGU
Molecule: long non-coding RNA, 1185 nt
Organism: Rhagoletis zephyria (snowberry fruit fly)
Lineage: Eukaryota; Metazoa; Arthropoda; Insecta; Diptera; Tephritidae
Source: RefSeq, a predicted model, not a curated record